AGGACGAACGCUGGCGGCGUGCUUAACACAUGCAAGUCGAACGCGCCUUAUUCCUUCGGGAGUAAGGUGAGUGGCGAACGGGUGAGUAACACGUGAGCAACCUGCCCUUGACCCUGGAAUAACAGCUGGAAACAGCUGCUAAUACCGGAUACGACCUCCGAUGGCAUCAUCUGGAGGUGGAAAGCUCCGACGGUCAAGGAUGGGCUCGCGGCCUAUCAGCUAGUUGGUGUGGGUAACGGCCCACCAAGGCGACGACGGGUA
RNAcentral lists this ribosomal RNA (261 nucleotides) under uncultured bacterium. RNAcentral describes it as "partial small subunit ribosomal RNA". It matches the Rfam family "Bacterial small subunit ribosomal RNA", at positions 26 to 285 of the family's 1533-position model. The record is from RNAcentral.